Molecule: transfer RNA, 74 nt
Filed under: Methanosarcinales archaeon
Lineage: Archaea; Methanobacteriati; Methanobacteriota; Methanomicrobia; Methanosarcinales
Also listed under: 2 other names
Description: tRNA-Val
Rfam family: tRNA
About the family: Transfer RNA (tRNA) molecules are approximately 80 nucleotides in length. Their secondary structure includes four short double-helical elements and three loops (D, anti-codon, and T loops). Further hydrogen bonds mediate the characteristic L-shaped molecular structure. tRNAs have two regions of fundamental functional importance: the anti-codon, which is responsible for specific mRNA codon recognition, and the 3' end, to which the tRNAs corresponding amino acid is attached (by aminoacyl-tRNA synthetases). tRNAs cope with the degeneracy of the genetic code in two manners: having more than one tRNA (with a specific anti-codon) for a particular amino acid; and 'wobble' base-pairing, i.e. permitting non-standard base-pairing at the 3rd anti-codon position.
Source: RNAcentral
GGGCUUGUGGUCUAGUUGGCUAUGACGUCGCCUUGACAUGGCGGAGGUCCUGCGUUCGAAUCGCAGCAGGCCCA